RNAcentral lists this ribosomal RNA (393 nucleotides) under uncultured bacterium. RNAcentral describes it as "partial 16S ribosomal RNA". It matches the Rfam family "Bacterial small subunit ribosomal RNA", at positions 523 to 918 of the family's 1533-position model. The record is from RNAcentral.
AUACGGAGGAUGCGAGCGUUAUCCGGAUUUAUUGGGUUUAAAGGGAGCGUAGGUGGGAUAUUAAGUCAGCUGUGAAAGUUUGGGGCUCAACCUUAAAAUUGCAGUUGAUACUGGUUUCCUUGAGUACGGUACAGGUGGGCGGAAUUCGUGGUGUAGCGGUGAAAUGCUUAGAUAUCACGAAGAACUCCGAUCGCGAAGGCAGCUCACCGGGCCGGAACUGACACUGAUGCUCGAGAGUGCGGGUAUCAAACAGGAUUAGAUACCCUGGUAGUCCGCACAGUAAACGAUGAAUACUCGCUGUUUGCGAUACACGGUAAGCGGCCAAGCGAAAGCGUUAAGUAUUCCACCUGGGGAGUACGCCGGCAACGGUGAAACUCAAAUGAAUUGACGGGG